This is a long non-coding RNA of Neopelma chrysocephalum (saffron-crested tyrant-manakin), 369 nucleotides long. RefSeq lists it as uncharacterized. The transcript is spliced from 4 exons. NCBI's taxonomy places the organism in Eukaryota, Metazoa, Chordata, Aves, Passeriformes, Pipridae. The record is from RefSeq and is a predicted model, not a curated record.
GAGUGGAAUGUAAGGCUUAGUAUUUUGAAGCUGAGCCAAAGAGGACGGGCUGAGAAGGCAGCUCAGUGCCAGGAGAAAAAACUCCAGGCGAAAUUGGAGACGGGCCAGAGAGAGGCUCGGAGGGUGUCCUGCAAAAGUUUGGCCGGGGGCAGCCAAAAACUGACGGAGGAGGAAUGAAUCCUGGAACAUGUGCACGUGACAAGCCGAGCUGAACUACAGCAGCUACGGAAUGGAGGGAGAGAGAGAGUCACACAGCAGAGAUUGGCAUGGAACCAAGGAGGACGGACUCAGAGCUAUCUUCUUGGACUUUGUGAGGAAGAAAAGACUUCAGCAAAGAGCUGGAGGGGAAAAGUCCAAAAUAGAGAGAAA